Molecule: ribosomal RNA, 630 nt
Filed under: uncultured Flavobacteriaceae QSSC8L-1
Lineage: Bacteria; Pseudomonadati; Bacteroidota; Flavobacteriia; Flavobacteriales; Flavobacteriaceae
Description: bacterial SSU rRNA
Rfam family: Bacterial small subunit ribosomal RNA
Source: RNAcentral
CAGCAGCCGCGGUAAUACGGAGGGUCCGAGCGUUAUCCGGAUUUAUUGGGCGUAAAGAGCUCGUAGGCGGGUUUUUAAGUCAGUGGUGAAAGCCCACAGCUCAACUGUGGAACUGCCAUUGAUACUGAAGACCUUGAAUUAUGGUGAAGUGGGCGGAAUAUGUAGUGUAGCGGUGAAAUGCAUAGAUAUUACAUAGAACACCGAUUGCGAAGGCAGCUCACUAACCGUGGAUUGACGCUGAUGGACGAAAGCGUGGGGAGCAAACGGGAUUAGAUACCCCGGUAGUCCUGGCUGUAAACGAUGGAUACUAGCUGUCCGGUGCCUUGAGUACUGGGCGGCCCAGCGAAAGUGAUAAGUAUCCCACCUGGGGAGUACGUUCGCAAGAAUGAAACUCAAAGGAAUUGACGGGGGCCCGCACAAGCGGUGGAGCAUGUGGUUUAAUUCGAUGAUACGCGAGGAACCUUACCUGGGCUAGACAUGGCGAGGGAGUUACCAAGAGAUGGUAACGCCGCAAGGCCCGAAGACAGGUGCUGCAUGGUUGUCGUCAGCUCGUGCCGUGAGGUGUCAGGUUAAGUCCUAUAACGAGGCGAACCCUUGUGAACUGUUGCCAUCGGCUAAUGCCGGGGACUC